This 1244-nucleotide ribosomal RNA is filed under the name metagenome. RNAcentral describes it as "SSU rRNA". It matches the Rfam family "Eukaryotic small subunit ribosomal RNA", at positions 528 to 1801 of the family's 1831-position model. The record is from RNAcentral.
AAUCCCUUAUCGAGGAUCAAUUGGAGGGCAAGUCUGGUGCCAGCAGCCGCGGUAAUUCUAGCUCCAAUAGCGUAUAUUAAAGUUGUUGCAGUUAAAAAGCUCGUAGUUGGAUUUAAGUUUGUUUGUGCGUUGUGAUCGUGAGAUGACGAUGCAUUGAGCAGACAUUAUUUGGGAUUUGGGGUUUCUUGGCAUUCAGUUGUUGAGAUUCAACUGCCCAUCGUUUACUGUGAAAAAAUUAGAGUGUUUAAAGCAGGGGUUUUUCCUUUGGAUAUAUUAGCAUGGAAUAAUAAUAUAUGACUCGUAUGGUCUAUUUUGUUGGUUUGCACAUAUGAGUAAUGAUUAAUAGGGACAGUUGGGGGUAUUCAUAUUUGAGCGUCAGAGGUGAAAUUCUUGGAUCGCUGAAAGAUGAGCUAAGGCGAAAGCAUUUACCAAGGAUGUUUUCAUUAAUCAAGAACGAAAGUUAGGGGAUCGAAGAUGAUUAGAUACCAUCGUAGUCUUAACCGUAAACUAUGCCGACUCGGGAUGGUUAUGACGCUUUUUAGUCAUAGCUGCACCGUAUGAGAAAUCGAAGUCUUUGGGUUCCGGGGGAAGUAUGAUCGCAAGAUUGAAACUUAAAGGAAUUGACGGAAGGGCACUCCAAAUGUGGAACUUGCGGCUUAAUUUGACCAACACGGGGAAACUUACCAGGUCCAGACAUAAUAAGGAUUGACAGAUUGAGAGCUCUUUCUUGAUUUUAUGGGUGGUGGUGCAUGGCCGUUCUUAGUUGGUGGAGUGAUUUGUCUGGUUUAUUCCGUUAACGAACGAGACGUGUGUAUGUAGUUUAUUUGCUUGUCUUUUUGACGAGGCCAAGUACCUACAUAGACUAUUAGUGACUAACUAAUUGAAGUGACACGCAAUAACAGGUCUGUGAUGCCCCUAGAUGUUCUGGGCCGCACGCGCGUUACAAUGAAUCGUUCAACAGGUUUUUUUCCUGAGUCGAAAGGCUUGGGUAAUCCUUUAAAUACGGUUCGUGCUAGGGAUAGAUUUUUGCAAUUAUUAAUCUUGAACGAGGAAUAUUUAGUAAACGCAGGUCAUCAGCCUGCAUUGAUUACGUCCCUGCCCUUUGUACACACCGCCCGUCGCACCAACCGAUUGGAUGUUUUGUUGAAAUAUGUGGAUGUUUGUUGAGUGGAUUAAUUUUCGCUCGAUAGAUAGAAACGUAUUAAAACUGAAUAUCUAGAGGAUGGUGAAGUCGUAACAAGGUU